Molecule: ribosomal RNA, 253 nt
Filed under: uncultured bacterium
Lineage: Bacteria
Description: partial 16S ribosomal RNA
Rfam family: Bacterial small subunit ribosomal RNA
Source: RNAcentral
UACGAGUGCCUCAAGCGUUAUCCGGAAUCACUGGGCGUAAAGGGUGCGUAGGCGGGUCUUUAAGUCAGGGGUGAAAUCCUGGAGCUCAACUCCAGAACUGCCUUUGAUACUGAGGAUCUUGAGUUCGGGAGAGGUGAGUUGAACUGCGAGUGUAGAGGUGAAAUUCGUAGAUAUUCGCAAGAACACCAGUGGCGAAGGCGGCUCACUGGCCCGAUACUGACGCUGAGGCACGAAAGCGUGGGGAGCAAACAGG